RNAcentral lists this ribosomal RNA (467 nucleotides) under Veillonella atypica. Its description in RNAcentral is "bacterial SSU rRNA". It matches the Rfam family "Bacterial small subunit ribosomal RNA", at positions 28 to 472 of the family's 1533-position model. The record is from RNAcentral. Lineage: Bacteria; Bacillati; Bacillota; Negativicutes; Veillonellales; Veillonellaceae.
GACGAACGCUGGCGGCGUGCUUAACACAUGCAAGUCGAACGAAGAGCGAUGGAAGCUUGCUUCUAUUAAUCUUAGUGGCGAACGGGUGAGUAACGCGUAAUCAACCUGCCCUUCAGAGGGGGACAACAGUUGGAAACGACUGCUAAUACCGCAUACGAUCCAAUCUCGGCAUCGAGACUGGAUGAAAGGUGGCCUCUAUUUAUAAGCUAUCACUGAAGGAGGGGAUUGCGUCUGAUUAGCUAGUUGGAGGGGUAACGGCCCACCAAGGCGAUGAUCAGUAGCCGGUCUGAGAGGAUGAACGGCCACAUUGGGACUGAGACACGGCCCAGACUCCUACGGGAGGCAGCAGUGGGGAAUCUUCCGCAAUGGACGAAAGUCUGACGGAGCAACGCCGCGUGAGUGAUGACGGCCUUCGGGUUGUAAAGCUCUGUUAAUCGGGACGAAGGUUCUUGUGCGAAUAGUGCGAG